UAACGCGUAUACAAUCUACCUUUAACUGAGGGAUAGCCCAGAGAAAUUUGGAUUAAUACCUCAUAGUAUUAUAAUUAGGCAUCUUUUUAUAAUUAAAACUUCGGUGGUUAAAGAUGAGUAUGCGUACUAUUAGCUAGUUGGUAAGGUAAAAGCUUACCAAGGCAACGAUAGUUAGGGGGCCUGAAAGGGUGAUCCCCCACACUGGUACUGAGACACGGACCAGACUCCUACGGGAGGCAGCAGUGAGGAAUAUUGCACAAUGGAGGAAACUCUGAUGCAGCCAUGCCGCGUGCAGGAAGAAUGCCCUAUGGGUUGUAAACUGCUUUUAUACAAGAAGAAACCUCGGUACGUGUACCGACUUGACGGUAUUGUAUGAAUAAGCACCGGCUAACUCCGUGCCAGCAGCCGCGGUAAUACGGAGGGUGCAAGCGUUAUCCGGAUUUAUUAGGUUUAAAGGGUCCGCA
Molecule: ribosomal RNA, 464 nt
Filed under: uncultured Bacteroidota bacterium
Lineage: Bacteria; Pseudomonadati; Bacteroidota
Description: bacterial SSU rRNA
Rfam family: Bacterial small subunit ribosomal RNA
Source: RNAcentral